CCUACGGGCGGCUGCAGUGGGGAAUAUUGGACAAUGGGGGGAACCCUGAUCCAGCCAUGCCGCGUGUGUGAAGAAGGCCCUCGGGUUGUAAAGCACUUUCAGUGAGGAAGAACGCCUGGUGGUUAAUACCCAUCAGGAAAGACAUCACUCACAGAAGAAGCACCGGCUAACUCCGUGCCAGCAGCCGCGGUAAUACGGAGGGUGCGAGCGUUAAUCGGAAUUACUGGGCGUAAAGCGCGCGUAGGUGGCUUGAUAAGCCGGUUGUGAAAGCCCCGGGCUCAACCUGGGAACGGCAUCCGGAACUGUCAAGCUAGAGUGCAGGAGAGGAAGGUAGAAUUCCCGGUGUAGCGGUGAAAUGCGUAGAGAUCGGGAGGAAUACCAGCGGCGAAGGCGGCCUUCUGGACUGACACUGACACUGAGGUGCGAAAGCGUGGGUAGCAAACAGGAUUAGAUACCCGAGUAGUC
This 465-nucleotide ribosomal RNA is filed under the name Vreelandella stevensii. RNAcentral's name for it is "partial 16S ribosomal RNA". It matches the Rfam family "Bacterial small subunit ribosomal RNA", at positions 338 to 795 of the family's 1533-position model. The record is from RNAcentral. Lineage: Bacteria; Pseudomonadati; Pseudomonadota; Gammaproteobacteria; Oceanospirillales; Halomonadaceae.